This 776-nucleotide ribosomal RNA is filed under the name uncultured Enterobacteriaceae bacterium. RNAcentral describes it as "bacterial SSU rRNA". It matches the Rfam family "Bacterial small subunit ribosomal RNA", at positions 724 to 1502 of the family's 1533-position model. Lineage: Bacteria; Pseudomonadati; Pseudomonadota; Gammaproteobacteria; Enterobacterales; Enterobacteriaceae. The record is from RNAcentral.
GGCUUCUGGACAGUACUGACGCUGAGAUGCGAAAGCGUGGGGAGCAAACAGGAUUAGAUACCUGGUAGUCCACGCUGUAAACGAUGUCGAUUUGGAGUUUGUUGCCUAGAGUGAUGGGCUCCGAGGCUAACGCGAUAAAUCGACCGCCUGGGGAGUACGGCCGCAAGGUUAAAACUCAAAUGAAUUGACGGGGGCCCGCACAAGCGGUGGAGCAUGUGGCUUAAUUCGAUGCAACGCGAAGAACCUUACCUGGUCUUGACAUCCAUAGAAUUCUGCAGAGAUGUGGGAGUGCCUUCGGGAACUAUGAGACAGGUGCUGCAUGGCUGUCGUCAGCUCGUGUUGUGAAAUGUUGGGUUAAGUCCCGCAACGAGCGCAACCCUUAUUCUUUGUUGCCAGCGAUUUGGUCGGGAACUCAAAGGAGACUGCCGUUGAUAAAGCGGAGGAAGGUGGGGACGACGUCAAGUCAUCAUGGCCCUUACGACCAGGGCUACACACGUGCUACAAUGGCGUAUACAAAGGGAAGCGAAGGUGCGAGCUGGAGCGGAUCUCAUAAAGUACGUCUAAGUUCGGAUUGGAGUCUGCAACUCGACUCCAUGAAGUCGGAAUCGCUAGUAAUCGUAGAUCAGAAUGCUACGGUGAAUACGUUCCCGGGCCUUGUACACACCGCCCGUCACACCAUGGGAGUGGGUUGCACCAGAAGUAGAUAGCUUAACCGCGAGGGGGGCGUUUACCACGGUGUGAUUCAUGACUGGGGUGAAGUCGUAACAAGGUAACCA